GGGGAAUUUUGGACAAUGGGGGAAACCCUGAUCCAGCCAUGCCGCGUGCAGGAUGAAGGCCUUCGGGUUGUAAAAUGCUUUUGUACGGAACGAAAAGGUCUUUUCUAAUAAAGAAGGCUGAUGACGGUACCGUAAGAAUAAGCACCGGCUAACUACGUGCCAGCAGCCGCGGUAAUACGUAGGGUGCGAGCGUUAAUCGGAAUUACUGGGCGUAAAGCGUGCGCAGGCGGUUAUGCAAGACAGAUGUGAAAUCCCCGGGCUCAACCUGGGAACUGCAUUAGUGACUGCAUAGCUAGAGUGCGGCAGAGGGGGAUGGAACUCCGCGUGUAGCAGUGAAAUGCGUAGAUAUGCGGAGGAACACCGAUGGCGAAGGCAAUCCCCUGGGCCUGCACUGACGCUCAUGCACGAAAGCGUGGGGAGCAAAC
Molecule: ribosomal RNA, 425 nt
Filed under: uncultured bacterium
Lineage: Bacteria
Description: bacterial SSU rRNA
Rfam family: Bacterial small subunit ribosomal RNA
Source: RNAcentral